AUAGUUAGAGUCAUAAUGAAUCUUCACAAAAACCAAACACGUACACCUUCUGUUCCCUAUUGACACAAGCAAUCUAAUUCAAGAAACUUGUCAAAAACCAAACCAACCAAUAGAAUUCUAUCAUAUGGCCCCAUCACCAUCCCAUACCAAUAAAAGUGCUCUCUAUAAACCAACAAAACUAAAUCACUCUCUCUCUCUCUCUCUCUAAUCUCUCUUUCAUAAAAUUAUUUCUUUUAUCCAACAAAAAAAAAAAAAAAGAGUAAAAGCAACCAACUUGAUCAUCUAUGAGUAAAAGCAACUCCAUAAGCAUAUUACAAAACAAUCAAACCAAAGAUUGAAAAAACAUCAUUUGUAUCAUUGUAAUAAAUAAGAAGAAAAGUAUACUAUAGUAUAGUGAUGAAGUGGUAGUGAACAAGAGAGAGAGAGAGAGAGAGAGAGAUUCAUAUGAAGAGAAACGAGGAUUGUGGAAGAAAGAGUCAACAACCUGGGAAAGCCGGGAGAGUUUUUGUUGGAUGGUAUAUUGGAUUGCAUCCAUGAAAUCACAGUUGCACUUUCCUUUCCAAAUAGAAUGACUGAUUCUCUUUACAAAGUUGAUACAACUCCACGUCUUGC
RNAcentral lists this long non-coding RNA (612 nucleotides) under Medicago truncatula (barrel medic). RNAcentral describes it as "long non-coding RNA (MTRU_LNC000710)". Lineage: Eukaryota; Viridiplantae; Streptophyta; Magnoliopsida; Fabales; Fabaceae. The record is from RNAcentral.